Molecule: long non-coding RNA, 1030 nt
Filed under: Manacus vitellinus (golden-collared manakin)
Lineage: Eukaryota; Metazoa; Chordata; Aves; Passeriformes; Pipridae
Description: lncRNA (ENSMVIG00005019556.1)
Source: RNAcentral
AUGAAUGCUAUCCAAAAAAGGGGUGCUUAUUUCCAUAGAAAUGGAUGUACUGGAGCAUCAGCAAAGGAGUGUGAAGGUGUUCUUCAGUCCAAGACUCUUCGUUUCAGUGAAGUGAAUCUGAAUCUGGCCCUGGAUCCAAAUGCUGAGUGGAAAAGUGGGAAGCAGGAUGACCUACAAGAUGUAAAGCAUGGCUGGGAAAAACCCUGUACUACCACUCUUAUACUUGGAAAAUGGCUUAUUUCAGGAUAUUGCCAGUUUCCUAUAGGUUUCUGCAAGCUGCUGGAGGUAAACUAGGUUGGGAUGCCUGUUUCUUUCCAGCUGUCCCGUCAUCUUCCCUUUUUGCUACUGAACCUUGUUUCUCCAUCAUGUGCCUGGAAAUGAAGCAAGGGAAGAAGUUUGGUUGGUUCUGCUUCCCCGAGGCACAGCAAAGGAGUGGUGGUGGGAGAGGGGCUUUGCUGUAGCGAGGGGAGGUGCAGGUACCACAGGUUGGAAGCACAAGGGCUGUGUUAAUUUGGCCAAGUCAGCCUUGGACAGCGGUGUCAAACUGCUUUGGCUUCCCCCUGCAGAGGCUCCAAGAGCAGCUGCAGCACCUCUGGGCGCAGUCACUGCACAACACAAAGGGUCUGAAAUAGGGUGUGAUGGGUGUAACUUUGCACGUCUGCUCCUGUUACUGCGCCUGUCUUCUGGGUGACGAGAACCUUGACACAGGAAUAGCAUAAAACAGCCUUCCACAGCAGCAAAGACAUGGCCAUUUGUCUGUCCCAGAGUUAAACCCACCACAGGAAAAUGUCCGAAUUGUCUGCAUCUGGCUUUUUUAGUAACAAGCUUCAUUAUAGGAGUGUCUGUCUCAUGUACAGCCGUUUAUGCAACAUUGUUUAUAAAGGAAGGGCCUGUGCACUUCAGGGAUACUAUGAAGAAGAAUACUAAUAUAUGGUCAUUGAGUAUUUUGUAUUGAAUAGUGUAUUUGUAUUGUAAACAAGUGUAGUGAACCACAAGGCAUGAAGACAAAUAAAAUGACAGUAGCUGGCUU